ACGGGUGAGUAACACGUAUCCAACCUGCCGUCUACUCUUGGACAGCCUUCUGAAAGGAAGAUUAAUACAAGAUGGCAUCAUGAGUCCGCAUGUUCACAUGAUUAAAGGUAUUCCGGUAGACGAUGGGGAUGCGUUCCAUAGAUAGUAGGCGGGGUAACGGCCCACCUAGUCUUCGAUGGAUAGGGGUUCUGAGAGGAAGGUCCCCCACAUUGGAACUGAGACACGGUCCAA
This 231-nucleotide ribosomal RNA is filed under the name uncultured bacterium. RNAcentral's name for it is "partial 16S ribosomal RNA". It matches the Rfam family "Bacterial small subunit ribosomal RNA", at positions 102 to 334 of the family's 1533-position model. The record is from RNAcentral.